Molecule: non-coding RNA, 325 nt
Organism: Pelobates cultripes (western spadefoot toad)
Lineage: Eukaryota; Metazoa; Chordata; Amphibia; Anura; Pelobatidae
Source: the annotation of a GenBank genome assembly
GCCCUUGCUAUCUUUUUGUAUCCUGUUCCUUGUUCGUGACAGGUGAUCAUUUCUUCUCUUAACUUUGUGGACCAUUCUUUUGACUUAGCCAUAUUUCUAACAUGCAGUCAAACUUAACAUUCAACAAACCCCCAGCCAGUUCAGACAUUUCAAGUGUUCCAGCUCAAGCACACCUGGUACAACUAAUGAAGCCCUUGUUUAGUUGCAUCAUAUGUGCUUGACACAACACCUGUUUUGCACAGUUGUGUUGUUGUGAGGGAUUCUAUUCAGAGGGUUGAAAAAUUUUAAGUCUGGAGAAGUGGCAAUGUGGUGAAACCACUUAAAG